RNAcentral lists this long non-coding RNA (337 nucleotides) under Rattus norvegicus (Norway rat). Its description in RNAcentral is "long non-coding RNA NONRATT011971". Lineage: Eukaryota; Metazoa; Chordata; Mammalia; Rodentia; Muridae. The record is from RNAcentral.
UUCUUUUAUUUUUUUUAUUAAAUCUUCCUGGUGAUCAAGUUCAACAAAGAUUUAAAGCUGUGGUUCAGUUGGCAACAGUAUUUUCAGGGCUUAGUGGUCAUGAAUCUCAAACACCCCUUUGUACUGUAGCAGCUACCAAGGUAGUUCCUUUACAUGCAGAUUUUGUGCAAAAUGUCUUCACAUCCUGCCUUGAUGGUAGGGUGAAGUUUAAAUUCAUCAAGGUGUUCUUUUUUCCUACACUGUCCCCUUGUUUGGUAAAAAAUUACAUACCGAGUUCAUUUGAAUCUACUGGUCAAGAGCAAGGUAAUGAAAUACAACAGGUACUCGGAGUACCCCU